AACCUGGUUGAUCUUGCCAGUAGUCAUAUGCUUGUCUCAAAGAUUAAGCCAUGCAAGUGAAAGUAUAUGCAUAUUUUAUAUGUAGAAACUGCGAACGGCUCAUUAAAACAGUUAUAAUCUACUUGAAAUUUCUACCUUACAAGGAUAACUACGGAAAAGCUGUAGCUAAUACUUGCUUUAAUGCGUUUGAAUCCUUUUGGAUUCCCGCGUAUGUACUUGUUAAGCCUUUAAGAAAGAAGUUUAUAACUUAAGGAAUUAUAACAAAGAAGUAACACAUAAUAAGGUUGCCUUAUUUAGUGUGUAUCAAUCGAGUUUCUGACCUAUCAGCUUUUGAUGUUAGGGUAUUGGCCUAACAUGGCUAUGACGGGUAACGGGGAAUUAGAGUUCGAUUCCGGAGAGGGAGCCUGAGAAAUAGCUACCACAUCUAAGGAAGGCAGCAGGCGCGUAAAUUACCCAAUUCUAAAGAAGAGAGGUAGUGACAAGAAAUAACAAUACAAGGCCAUUUCAUGGUUUUGUAAUUGGAAUGAUGGGAAUUUAAAACCUUCCCAAAAUUCAAUUGGAGGGCAAGUCUGGUGCCAGCAGCCGCGGUAAUUCCAGCUCCAAUAGCGUAUAUUAAAAUUGUUGCAGUUAAAACGCUCGUAGUUGAAUUUCAAAGAAUCAAUAUUUUAAGUAAUACUUUUGCUAUAAGAUGCUUAGACAAUACAACGUAUCUGUUCUUUGCAUUCCUUAUGCAAAAUGUGUUCUUAUUAUAAAAAGGAUUCUUUUUAAAAUCUCUUUUGCUAUUUUUUAGUAUUGGAGAUUUUGUUACUUUGAGUAAAUUAGAGUGUUCAAAGCAAACAGUUAAAGCAUUUUUACUGCGUUUGAAUACUACAGCAUGGAAUAACAAAAUUGAACAAGUCAGAAUUCUGUUCUUUUUUCUUAUUUUGGCUUAGUUACGAUUAAUAGGAGUAGCUUGGAGGCAUUUGUAUUCAGAUGUCAGAGGUGAAAUUCUUAGAUUUUCUGGAGACAAACAACUGCGAAAGCAUUUGCCUAAAAUACUUCCAUUAAUCAAGAACGAAAGUUAAGGGAGUGAAGACGAUCAGAUACCGUCGUAAUCUUAACCAUAAACUAUGCCGACUAGGUUUUGGAUGAAACAUUUUUAAAUAAGAGAAUUCCUUUCGGGGAAAUUUCUUAGAUUGCUUCUUUCAGUACCUUAUGAGAAAUCAAAGUCUUUGGGUUCUGGGGCGAGUAUUCGCGCAAGCGAGAAAGUUAAAAGAAUUGACGGAAGGGCACCACCAGGCGUGGAGCUUGCGGCUUAAUUUGACUCAACACGGGGAAACUCACUAGUUUAAGACAAGAGUAGGAUUGACAGAUUAAUAGCUCUUUCUUGAUUUCUUGGAUGGUGAUGCAUGGCCGUUUUUAGUUCGUGAAUAUGAUUUGUCUGGUUAAUUCCGAUAACGAACGAGAUCUUAACCUGCUAAUUAGCGGCGAAUACGUGAUAUUCUUAUGCGAAAUUGAAUAUAGCUGAAUUUGCUUAUUUUGAAGAAUACAUUAGGAUACAAUUAAUGUGUCCUUUUCCCUAUUCUUCUUAAUUCGCAAUUCAUGCUGUUUCUCUUUUGCAUUAGAAUGUAUUCGUUUGAUUGUAAAGCUUCUUAGAGGAACGAUGUGUGUCUAACACAAGGAAGUUUAAGGCAACAACAGGUCUGUGAUGUCCUUAGAUGAACUAGGCUGCACGCGUGCUACACUGAUAUGUAAAACGAGUUACUAAAAAUAUACUUUUGUUAGGGUAUUUUAUAUACUCUUUCAAAUUGUAUAGUUUUCCUCCACUGAAAAGUGUAGGUAAUCUUUAUCAGUACAUAUCGUGAUGGGGAUAGAUUAUUGCAAUUAUUAAUCUUGAACGAGGAAUGCCUAGUAAGCAUGAUUCAUCAGAUUGUGCUGACUACGUCCCUGCCCUUUGUACACACCGCCCGUCGCUCCUACCGAUUGAAAGAUAUGAUGAAUUGUUUGGACAAGAAAAGAAAGAAUUUAUAUUCUUUUUUUUCUGGAAAAACCGUAAAUCCUAUCUUUUAAAGGAAGGAGAAGUCGUAACAAGGUUUCCGUAGGUGAACCUGCGGAAGGAUCAUUA
Molecule: ribosomal RNA, 2104 nt
Filed under: Plasmodium ovale curtisi
Lineage: Eukaryota; Apicomplexa; Aconoidasida; Haemosporida; Plasmodiidae
Description: SSU rRNA
Rfam family: Eukaryotic small subunit ribosomal RNA
Source: RNAcentral